AUGCUUAACACAUGCAAGUCGAACGAGAAAGUGGAGCAAUCCAUGAGUAAAGUGGCGACCGGGUGAGUAACACGUGACUAACCUACCUUCGAGUGGGGGAUAACCUCGGGAAACCGAGGCUAAUACCGCAUAACAUCGCAAGAUCAAAGCAGCAAUGCGCUGGAAGAGGGGGUCGCGGCUGAUUAGCUAGUUGGCGGGGUAACGGCCCACCAAGGCGAAGAUCGGUAGCCGGCCUGAGAGGGCGCACGGCCACACUGGAACUGAAACACGGUCCAGACUCCUACGGGAGGCAGCAGUGAGGAAUAUUGCGCAAUGGGCGAAAGCCUGACGCAGCGACGCCGCGUGCGGGAUGAAGGCCUUCGGGUUGUAAACCGCUUUCAGCAGGGACGAAGCGAAAGUGACGGUACCUGCAGAAGAAGCGCCGGCUAACUACGUGCCAGCAGCCGCGGUAACACGUAGGGCGCGAGCGUUGUCCGGAAUUAUUGGGCGUAAAGAGCUCGUAGGUGGUCCGCUACGUCUGCUGUGAAAAUCCAGGGCUUAACCCUGGACUUGCAGUGGAUACGGGCGGACUAGAGGUAGGUAGGGGAGAAUGGAAUUCCCGGUGUAGCGGUGAAAUGCGCAGAUAUCGGAAGGAACACCAGUGG
RNAcentral lists this ribosomal RNA (644 nucleotides) under uncultured bacterium. RNAcentral's name for it is "bacterial SSU rRNA". It matches the Rfam family "Bacterial small subunit ribosomal RNA", at positions 44 to 715 of the family's 1533-position model. The record is from RNAcentral.